GGAUGUGAUUUGCCCCUCCUUGCCUUCUGCCAUGAUUGUGAGGCCUCCCAGCCACGUGAAACUGAUCACAGGGCUCAGGUGAAAUCCAAGACUGUCAGAAGUGUGGAUAAAGUUAAAAUAUUUAACCUUCUCAUGUAAACAUAAGAGCCUGAUUAAUUUUGAGACAUAAGCUUUGGACUCAGAUAGAACUGAGCUGGACUCUUGCUUCACUUCACUUCACUGAGCUGCAUGGGCUUGGAGGGAUGUAAAACGACGCUUAAACAGGGGCGCACGGUGACAGAUGCGGCCCUGGCACGGCAGCACUGGCGUUGAGAUUCCACAUCAGCAUCGGUGUGGACCUGAGAAAACUAUUGCGCCUUUUGCAGACCC
This 369-nucleotide long non-coding RNA is filed under the name Pongo abelii (Sumatran orangutan). Its description in RNAcentral is "lincRNA". The record is from RNAcentral. Lineage: Eukaryota; Metazoa; Chordata; Mammalia; Primates; Hominidae.